ACACGACUACGUAGUUUGAUCCUGGCUACAGAACGAACGCUGGCGGCAUGCCUAACACAUGCAAGUCGAACGAAGGCUUCGGCCUUAGUGGCGCACGGGUGCGUAACGCGUGGGAAUCUGCCCUUGGGUUCGGAAUAACUCAGAGAAAUUUGAGCUAAUACCGGAUGAUGACGUAAGUCCAAAGAUUUAUCGCCCAAGGAUGAGCCCGCGUAAGAUUAGCUAGUUGGUGGGGUAAAGGCCUACCAAGGCGACGAUCUUUAGCUGGUCUGAGAGGAUGAUCAGCCACACUGGGACUGAGACACGGCCCAGACUCCUACGGGAGGCAGCAGUGGGGAAUAUUGGACAAUGGGCGAAAGCCUGAUCCAGCAAUGCCGCGUGAGUGAUGAAGGCCUUAGGGUUGUAAAGCUCUUUUACCAGGGAUGAUAAUGACAGUACCUGUAGAAUAAGCUCCGGCUAACUCCGUG
RNAcentral lists this ribosomal RNA (464 nucleotides) under uncultured bacterium. RNAcentral describes it as "bacterial SSU rRNA". It matches the Rfam family "Bacterial small subunit ribosomal RNA", at positions 1 to 507 of the family's 1533-position model. The record is from RNAcentral.